RNA transcript from Pezoporus occidentalis (night parrot), 3175 nucleotides. It is a transcript of the gene named sterile alpha motif domain containing 13, with no coding region annotated. The transcript is spliced from 6 exons. The record is from RefSeq and is a predicted model, not a curated record. Lineage: Eukaryota; Metazoa; Chordata; Aves; Psittaciformes; Psittacidae.
GAUGCCUGCGAGGAAGGCAGCUGCUGCAGGGCGGCGGGCGGGGGGACCCCGCGGGCCCCCGGCUGAACGUGGGGAGCUGGGGAGGCGGUGCAGUGCUGCGCCUUUAAAACGGGCGCCAUGACGCGGGCGGCGGUUGGUGCGGGCCGUGUGUGGCGGGCACGUCAGGCGGGCCGGGCGCCAGGCGGGGCUGCUGCCCGGUGUCAAACUGAGCCGCCUCAGAGCGCCCCGCUGCCGGCGGGGGGGCGGGAGCCGCGGGCUCCGAAGCAGCCCGUAGCAAUGCUUUGGUUUAGUUGCUCGUAGUUGCUGAAGUAAAAGAAACUUCUAUCCUCCCCAUGCUAACUGUUGACAUGGAAAACAAGGAAAAUGGCUCUCUGGAAGUCAAAAAUUCCAUAGAGAAUGGGAGACCUCCGGAUCCUGCUGACUGGGCUGUUACCGAUGUUGUGAAUUAUUUCAGAACAGCUGGAUUUGAAGAACAAGCCAAUGCUUUUCAAGAACAGGAAAUUGAUGGCAAAUCAUUACUCUUGAUGACAAGAAAUGAUGUACUGACUGGACUUUCAUUAAAACUGGGGCCUGCGCUGAAAAUCUAUGAAUAUCAUGUUAAACCUCUACAGACACAACAUCUAAAGAACAACUCUUUAUAGUAAAUUAUCUAACUGGGGUCAUGUUGUGCCUCAAACAACAAAUAAGCAAUUUGGUUUCAUGUGGUGGAACUUUGUAAAGAGAAAAUAUAUCUAUUAAGAAUUUAAACCAAAUUAUUAUAUAUAUCCUAUUGGAUAGAGUUGGCAAUAUACUAUAUACUGAGUCUGAACUGAGAGAAGUGGUGUGUAUUUUUUACAUAGUACAUAAUGAUUUUCUCUUUUAGGAAGUGUCAAUGAACAUGUUGAAAUAGUUACAUCACUGUAUCCAGAACAAAAGAGAGAAAACACAGCUGCUGUUGAGAUGAGGAAGUGACUGAUGGCCAUUACUGGAUACCCUGUCGAUACUGCACUUCUGCAGUCACAGAGUUUGCAAGAAUACACUUAUAACAUGCCCUUAAUGUGCCUACAGAUAGGAGAGAUCCUCCUCCUUAAAAGACCUCUCUGCUUUGGGUGGCAGUUAAGCUGCCACUGCCCAACUGCUGAGUUGAUAGUGGGUGUGAGAGUGAGGAUGGUCUCAGUGCUGCAGGUCUCUUCGCUGUCACGCUGAACCAGCAGUUUAGAGAGUGGCCUCCUUCUCCUAGAGGCAGUUUUAAAGGAGCAGAACAACAUUCAGCUUCCCUGCUCUGCUGCGGGUCAGCACAAGAACAGAGACACGUGCUACAGCCAAGAACAAGAGGACUUGACUGGUGCUGGGAAAUGUCAGCCAGGAGAGCCCAUCCAUGUCCCAUUCUGUCACACCAAAGGCCUCCAUACACCUUCACCUCUGCGUUGCUCAGUUUUGACAGCAGCUUCCCCUAGGGGUAGUGCAGAUGGCAGUGGCUGUCAUCAGCCCGCAAAGGCAGUCUUCCCUUGGAGUAAUACGCAGACUGAUUUAAUACAUAACUUUAAUUCCUAUUGGGAAGGCUGACUUCUUUUCAAUAUGAUAAUGUAACAGGUUCAUUAAAUUAUUUUUUGCUUAGCCCCUAUAAUUCGGGAAUUGUUUGAUUUAGUGAUGCUCCUUUGGAUCCCAGAUACGUAUUCAACUUACUCCCAGAAUAACAUUAUGUGGUAGAUGCUGUAAAUCUGGGGGAUAGAACUGUAGCCUCAAACACCUGGAGAGCCCAAGGGGAGCACCAUGAAGACUCUAAGUGGCCCUUGGUUUCCAUGUGAGAGUUCCACUGCUUCUGAAGGCUGCUGGUGAGUACAGGAGACCGCUGUUGUAUUUAUAUGCUGCACUUGUGAGCAUCUUCUUUAAAGGAGCAGUCAGCAGUUAUAACUGCUGUAUCAUCAGCUGAUCUGCUGAUAAAGCAACAACAAAUGUCUUGGCAUUGGCAAGCCUGCACUCAUCUCAGGAUGUUCCCUUCAUCUUUCCAGAUGAUUGCUAUAAUCCAGCUGCCCCUCUAUGAACACUGCAGCAGUCACUGCACUGAGGAAUGCCCUGACUUUGUAACAGCUAAAUCGUAUCAAAAAAGGGAGGGAAGGCUCAUCAUUUGCACUGAUGUCUGAUUCAAGAGUAACAUUGCUUUAUCUUGUACUGGUGGACUGCAGCAGGAGGAAGGAAGUAAAGAGUAAGGAACUUGUAGCUGAGUCUGUUCCCCAGCUGGUGGCCAAACCACAGGGAGAAGCGUGGAAGUGGGCAUGCGCAUGGGUGUAGCAGUCCUGUUUCACAAGGAUACUCCUCUUCUUCCUCCCUUCUGUAUAAAUACUACAUGCCUUUUUGCCUGGGCUUCUCUACUUGGAAACACGGCAGGAGUGCAAGGCCAUUAAAACUUGAGCUCGUGACUUUUGCAGUCAGGUGUAGAUGUUAAUAUGGGAAUUCAUGCCUAAUGUCACUCUUGAGGGGUGGCAGAAGCCACCUUUAGUACUUGUGUACUCUGGAUUCUGUUGCUAUGCUUCCUUCUGCACCAAAGUUUUCUCUACUCCCCUUAUUUUUCUACUUUUUUGUCCCUCCGGUAUUGUUUGGUUUGGGUUUUUGUUUCCAGCUGUGAAGUAGCCAGAUGGGAGAGAUACUGGCUAGAUAUAUGGGAGAGAUGUCCUCACUGAUUUAUUAUUUUUUUUAAUUAUUAUUUUAUUUUCUGCGACUUUGAUUUGUCUGAUAUUUUUUACUAUGAGUGUAUUUCCCCCCCUUUUUUUCCUCCCCCUCAUCUUUGUGCUUAUCUUCUAGUGUCUCUCUCUCUUCUGUUACCUUAUGUUCCACUUCUAGGCUGGCCCUCCUGUGCACGUCCAUCCGUUGGGGCCUGGGCUACAAAUGCUCAUCCCCACAGGGAAACACUUACUUGCAGCAAUACCUGACCUGCUAUGGUCAGCUAACAGGACUGAAUGAUUAUGUUUGCUUCUGCCGCACAAGUCAUGAAGUACUCCUCCAGCUCUCUCUGGCAGGCACCUAUAGGGUAUGUGCCCCUUUCCUGGUUCUGUCCAUCACUUUUUUUGUGAGCCUGGCAGAGGUGAACUGCUUUCCUGGGGUGUAAUUUGGUAUGAACCUUGAGGAGGAUGUAGCAAGCUUCAACUCAAUGCAGUGGAGAGUUUGUAAGUCUGUAAUAAAUUUAUGUAACAACUAA